CUGGGCUGUCUCUCCGAGCCGUCUAUCUACAAACCUUAGGGUUUGCUUCUUCAUAGGACACUCGCCGCACGAUGUGGCCCAAGGGUGCUGUGAGCUUUACUAUGAUAGCCUAGCUGGAGCAGCGAGCGUUACGCUCUCUCCCAUCCUCACAUACUUCGUUGUGGCCAGGCAUUGGUUCUCUCUUGGACAGCUAGCUGCUAGAUUCGGCCGAGCGGCGGGACAGGUUCCAUGGCGAGGAUUUGCGAUCGAAAAGGUGAGUAGUUUUCAUCUAGGACUAAGAUAAAUCGAGUUACCUUCUCCCUCUCUUUAAUUUCUCGGUACUAUUUGUUUGUCACCUCAGAUCCUUUGAGUUGUUAUUUAGCCACCUCGUGCUUGUUCCAUAGAGCCGAGAGUCAAUUGGAGCAAGUGGUGAUCGAAAGGUAUCCUUGCUUCAAUUCCGACAAGGCUUGGGUGAGCGAGAAGAUCUUGGCUCAAUCAAGUUUCCUGUCCAUCUCGUGGAUGUUGUUCCACAUGAUUUUGAGUCUUUGGUUGGUGAGAGUUUGGCCGUGACCUCAGGAGCUACACAGUUCCCGAUCCAUGUGCGGACAAGUUGGUUGCACUUGUGUCAAUAUCAUUGCAUUCAAUCGUCGAUUGGAAAAGGCACAGUUUCGUCGAGGAAAUCGUCCUUGCCUUUUGACACGAGGCUCGCCGGAAAUCUUGAGCCCAAGUAAUGUAAUUGUCUGGUUCGGCGAGCUGUAAUUUGAUGAGUCACAGCUCUAGUCCGUCAGUCGGCGACGUGUAAAAUGGGUCACCGGGUUUUGGGCGGCCACUGGUAGCUGGGACGGCCGAGGGCAUGAAGCCAGGUUGAAAACCUAGGUAGAGAUUCAUCCCUAAACCUACCAGGUUCAAUUUGGGUUUGUGCCUUGGAGGUGACUAGCCCAACCCACCAUUUGGGUUGGUCCCGAGAACAAACGGGACACGCCCACCUCCAUUGGGUUGGGUUCCGAGGCCCGAAGUUGUUUCUUCUCUGGAUGGGCCAUGUUGAGCCCACUGUUAAUUUGGUCCAUCGGCCCAUUGGCCCUAGACCGGAAACCAGUUAACUAGUGGCCACUGGGCCAGGCCGGAAUAUUGAGCAGGGACGGGCAGGAUUUUGAGAAGAAGGUUCUUCGUUUGAGUUGGAUUAAUUUGAUCCAAAAUAUGAUUUUGAGGGGAGUUGGAAGCUUCCUCCAUUGCAGGAUAUGGUUUGCAACAACAAAUUAGAAAACUAACCGGGGCAAUCCAGAAGACUUUGCGGAAGUUAGGCCAAGAAAAGAGGCUCUUAUACCACGACAAAAAUUGAAGAAGAGUUUGGUAUGAAUUGCGCGUGCAAUUUCUCUAUCUAUCUUUUUACAUGUACAUGGGUAUAUUUAUAGUACAAGUAGAAAAUAGGAAAGACUAUAUUAGAUAACGUCUUCCUAUUUUACUAUCUAAA
This is a long non-coding RNA of Syzygium oleosum, 1450 nucleotides long. RefSeq lists it as uncharacterized. The record is from RefSeq and is a predicted model, not a curated record. The transcript is spliced from 2 exons. NCBI's taxonomy places the organism in Eukaryota, Viridiplantae, Streptophyta, Magnoliopsida, Myrtales, Myrtaceae.